UUUAAAUACCUUCACAUGGAACAAGUGCCACGAGCUAAAGCUUUUUAUGUACUAGAAAAACAUGUAAGAAGUAUCAGUGGCUGGGAACUGAGGAAAUAUCAGUCAGAUUUAACAGUUUUAAUCGUACGCAAGCUAUGCAGUCAGGUUUGGGACUGGCGAUGUGGCUUAAUGGCCCAUGACAUAAAGGCCAGAGUACAUGAUCCAAUGAUCCCUUCCAACCCUUAGCUCUCUAAAGUAUUUUAGCUGUGUUCUGGAAAAUUUGGCUGCCCUCUCCUUUGCUCUCUUUCCUAUGACUAAGCCGGUGAUUAGUUCAUAGGGGCUAGUUUCAAUGACAGAUAGCAGAGUUCUUGAAGAAUUAAGUGAGGGCAGCAGGCAGAAGGUGAUGGCCACUGGCUGCCCAGUGCACAGCCUGUCAGAGGACUCUGGUACAUGCGCUCAUUCCCAGUCCAGCAGGCAUGGAAGACAAGAAGAGAUGAGGGUGUUGGAGCAGGAAAACAGGGAAAAUGAGACUUGAGCCUCGAUGGUGCUUAAGCACUUUUUAACUGGAAAGAGUUGGACUCUGAAUGUCUCAGGGGGAGACACUCUCUCCUAUCUUCAACCAUCUUUGUAGCUCGCCUCUGAAAUGUCUUCAGUGUUUCAACAUCUGUCUGAACGUCUGCCAAUGGAAUUUCAAAAGUGAGCAUCUGUGUAGAGGAUUGCUUGGGAAAAGUGUUUUGUUUGCUUGUUUUGUUUUUGUUUACCUGGUGAAAAUGAAGAUGGUAAGCAUCAGUGGAGGUGGUAAAAAGCACAGCAGCAAGAAUCAACGAGAUCAGAUAAGUGAACUGUGGAAUAUACAUGUAUAUAAACCCUAAAGAGGCUUUCCGAGAGAAGGUGUCUCUUCAUGAAGCUGCUUUGGCACGGCAGAAGACAUCCUGGCAGCAUCAUACAGGCUCUUUGAAAUUCUGGAUCUGAAUGAAGAGAUGGGACAGCAAGGCCAGACCCUGCCAUGGGAAGGCUGGAGCAUGGGUUCAGAGGGCCUGUGCCUGUCAGCAGAGGCUGGUGGACACACACAGCAUGGCCCAGACACAGCGCCAGCUCAUAGCUAGGGACACAGGCAGGGGACGAGAGCUACUGGGAAGAAAUGUUGCAAAAAGAUAAUUAAACCGUAAAAUUUUAUACUUGUGAGUUCUCAGGAGAUGUGAGGAAAGAGCGAAAUGAUUGCAGCCUGGGAACCUGGGAAGGUGGCUGAGAUGUGCAAGGAGCUACCACAUGUGUUGGUUCACCAGUUCGUGGAACAACUCCUUCCUCCCCUUAGAGAGCACACAUUAAUCCAGUUACGGCUUUAUAAGGCUGGCAGCACCAUCUAGUGGCAGCCUAGGCUGGCCCAGCAAAUAAUUCAUGUUUUCAGAGGGCAGCAGAUUUUUACAGCACUCUAAACCCUUGCUUUUAUCCCUGCUUGCAAACACAGGAGAAUGAAAAUAGUUUAAGUGUAGCAAUACAAAUGAUUUGAAUUUUAAAGUGUUUUUAGUCCAUCCUCAUUUUUAUCUGGCCAUUGUUACUAUAAUUUUUUCCUGACCAUUGUAAAAAUACAGCUUAUACCUUUUUAUAACUCUUUCUUUUUAUGUGCUGUGGAUUCUCCACAACUACACUUGAUGUUUGGUGUUUUCACCUUCAUAUCACAGUGCUCAGUGUCCUAACCCACUCCCUUAGGUUAAAUUUAUGUGCCUGUGAACGCCUGAACCAAGACAGAGGGGUGCAGAAGCGUCUCAUAUAAAUGUUGAGAGUCUAUAUUUAGUGAAAACUCAGCACAAGAGAAGACCAUAAUAGGAAUUGCAAAUCAUCUAUAGGAAUAAAUGUUUAUUCUUUAAAUCCGUAUGCUUACA
Molecule: long non-coding RNA, 1862 nt
Filed under: Anas platyrhynchos platyrhynchos (common mallard)
Lineage: Eukaryota; Metazoa; Chordata; Aves; Anseriformes; Anatidae
Description: lncRNA (ENSAPLG00000021899.1)
Source: RNAcentral